Molecule: ribosomal RNA, 253 nt
Filed under: uncultured bacterium
Lineage: Bacteria
Description: partial 16S ribosomal RNA
Rfam family: Bacterial small subunit ribosomal RNA
Source: RNAcentral
UACGUAGGAGGCAAGCGUUGUCCGGAUUUACUGGGUGUAAAGGGUCCGCAGGCGGGCGAUUAAGUCGGUGGUGAAAUCCUGCAGCUUAACUGUAGAACUGCCUCCGAUACUGAUCGUCUUGAAUACGGGAGAGGGUGACGGAAUUCCAGGUGUAGCGGUGAAAUGCUUAGAUAUCUGGAAGAACACCGGUCGCGAAGGCUGUUACCUGGCCCGUUAUUGACGCUCAGGGACGAAAGCGUGGGGAGCAAACAGG